GGGCGCGCGCGUUCCCGGCCCUCAGUGUCUGUGGGGUGCCCUCGCGAGGCCGGACCUGCCACCUCCACAUCUCUACCUGAGCAUCUUUCCCUGCAGUUACUUGAGUGGGCUCCAUCUUCUCCCCGCCUUUCUCUGUAAGUCCUUGGGGGAUUUUCCAAAACGUUAAUGGAAAGACAGUCUGAUGACAAGAUUCCUCAUGAAGAGAAGGAAGACUGUCCGUAAAAUAUGCCAUGAGCAAAGACAAGGAAACAAGACUGCAGAUGCAUUCUGUGGUUCCAGGAAUUCAGAAGCAUAGUCUCAGCCUUCCUGUGUCUGACUGAGAGGCAUAUAGGGAAAUCAUCACAAUACAAGGUGUCAAUCAAGAAAAUUCAAAGGCAAUUCCAGGAGCUUUCAUCAGAAGGUUAUCUAACUAUGUAUGUGGAUAAAACUUAUAUGCUGAAUUCAGAUAAUAGCACUUCUGAACAAGUAAAUUUAAAGAAAAACAUGCUGAACAUCUACCAUAAGAAAGGACCUGGAGAGUUAAAAUUAAAAGAAGAAAGAGAGAAGAGGGAGAAAGAGAGAGAAGAGAGAGGAGAGAUAAGAAAACUGGUUGCUUUAGGUUAUGUGCUCAACUGUUGCCUAGGGAAA
Non-coding RNA from Kogia breviceps (pygmy sperm whale), 627 nucleotides. Lineage: Eukaryota; Metazoa; Chordata; Mammalia; Artiodactyla; Physeteridae. The record is from RefSeq and is a predicted model, not a curated record.